AACGCGAAGAACCUUACCUCUCAUAGAAGGUAAGCAGCCCUUUCACACCUUGCUCAACGUUGGCUUGGUUGUAGACGUCGAUCGUGGCGAACAGGUGGUUUCCGGCCCCGACAUAGCAUCUUUCGAUGAUGUAGUAGCUGGUAUCGGAGUAGACCGGCGGCGCGGGCACGUAGGCGGGGGCUGGUGCGACGUAGACGGUGUGCGUUCCCGGGCCUUGUACACACCGACGCGUAU
Molecule: ribosomal RNA, 234 nt
Filed under: uncultured bacterium
Lineage: Bacteria
Description: partial 16S ribosomal RNA
Source: RNAcentral